UUUAUGUAUGGAGGAUGAAAC
Molecule: ribosomal RNA, 21 nt
Filed under: Plasmodium vivax (malaria parasite P. vivax)
Lineage: Eukaryota; Apicomplexa; Aconoidasida; Haemosporida; Plasmodiidae
Description: rRNA PVP01_MIT02100
Source: RNAcentral